GCCGACGUAGCUCAGUUGGUAGAGCAAUCGAUUCGUAAUCGAUAGGUCGCAGGUUCGACUCCUGCCGUCGGCACCA
Molecule: transfer RNA, 76 nt
Filed under: Thioalkalivibrio sp. K90mix
Lineage: Bacteria; Pseudomonadati; Pseudomonadota; Gammaproteobacteria; Chromatiales; Ectothiorhodospiraceae
Description: tRNA-Thr (CGT) (tRNA-Thr-CGT-1-1)
Rfam family: tRNA
About the family: Transfer RNA (tRNA) molecules are approximately 80 nucleotides in length.
Source: RNAcentral